GUAUUUUAUCAUCUUCAGACAAGAAUAUGGCAACAUUUUCAGCCACAUUUUUGUGUUUGAGUUCAGUCCAGCUUCCACCACAACCCGAGCGAGUCUGACUAAUGCAAAGGUCGGGGUUGUGUUUGCUACAACUAAUUCGACUCAAGAAAUCCCACAGGCUGCAAAUGUUUCACAAACCUUAGUAACCGCUGUGUCAAACCCGAACAAUACCUUCAACGUCACUGUUAAUGCCGUCACUGUAGUUGGAACAACUACAUUAAAUUCGACAACUACAUCGCCCAUUACUGCUGCAACAACAGUUGCCAAAGUUCCAACUACAGUUGCCAAAGUUCCAACUACAACUGCUGUAACAGUCAUAACAAGGCUAUUGACAUUCAGAUCUCAAGGAGAGAUAUUUACAAGUGACUUGAUGGAUCCAUCAUCUGCAGCAUUUAAAAGACGAGCGACAUUGAUGGAGACAACACUGCGACCUCUAUUCAAAAUAGCUUUUCCUACAUUCAUCAACAUCUAUGUGAUUUCAUUCAGUAAUGGAUCAAUCAUCCAAAACUUGGGACUUACAUUCUCAUCAACGUCUGCUCCUAAUGGUUCCCAGAUUCAAACAAUUUUGGUCAUAGUAGCUCCAACAAUCACAGACUUCAACAUUGACACCACGUCCAUUUCUGUGGAUGGCACACAGGUUUCAAGUGGAGUAAGCCACAAGAUCAGUCUCACCACCGCAUCCUUCCUUGUGCUGAUGUCAUGGAUCCUCUCAAGCCAACAAUAGCAUCAUUGCUGAAUACAAUUUCAUUUGCCAUUAUUACAUGACUGCCAUCACUGGCAUGAAAAAUGACUUCUUGAUUCUUGUCGAAGAAGCCUUCUACAGCUUCAGAUAAACUAUCACUUUUUAUUUUUUUAUUAAUUCACAUAUGUAUGACACUGGAUUAGGUUGAUCUUAAUCUGAACAUGUUUCUGGAUGGGAAUGUCCAGGCUCCUUCACCGAGCAGAAUGACACAACAAGACUCAUAUGGCACACAAAAUACCAUUGAGCCUUGAGAUGCCCAUUUAAAAAAAAGUGUUCGAGCAAUAUUUAACCUCAUGACAGUGACUAAUCUUUUCUUAUUUGUCACAUCAAAACGUAAAGAAGAACAAGAGGACAAGUGAAAUCAGUUAAAUUAUGCUCAACUUCACCAGAAGGCAGUUGUAGCCCUCGAUUUCACACUUUUGUGAAGUUAUAGUCUUCUUGGUUUCCUUCUGUCGUCCUAAAAUGUAUGUAAAAUGUUAGGUUUGACUUCUUUCCAUAUAAUUUUGUAACAUUGCAUAGAAAUAUCAGAGAGCAUAUUGUAAAGGGAACAUGUGUCUAAAGUUAAUUAAAGGAACAGCACUGCAGCUCAUCAUGAGUCGUAUAACCAACCAUGAACCAAAUAGGCCUAGAGUUAUAUUAUCAUUAUAUACAUGGUCAAAACAUUGCACUGUUAAUUUGAUUUAUUUAUUCAACGUGUAUUUAUAUAUUCAUGUAUAGCUGAUUUCUGUGAGUUUUCUAAAUGUUUGUACAAUAUUUGUCAGAAGCUUCAUAAUGAUCAGAAUAAAAAGUCUUCCAAGAAUUUU
Pseudoliparis swirei is the source of this 1584-nucleotide long non-coding RNA. RefSeq lists it as uncharacterized. The transcript has 6 exons. Lineage: Eukaryota; Metazoa; Chordata; Actinopteri; Perciformes; Liparidae. The record is from RefSeq and is a predicted model, not a curated record.